This is a long non-coding RNA of Magnolia sinica, 488 nucleotides long. RefSeq lists it as uncharacterized. Lineage: Eukaryota; Viridiplantae; Streptophyta; Magnoliopsida; Magnoliales; Magnoliaceae. The record is from RefSeq and is a predicted model, not a curated record. The transcript has 2 exons.
AAGCCGUUCGACCAUUGCCGUACCUUCGUGGAACCCACUCCAUCAAUUUUCGGCAUGUUCCUGGCGACAUUCUCUCCAUUGUGGGACUCAGAGCUCUUUCUAGCUACUUUUUCGAGGUUUUUUUUUUUUUCUAGAGCGUGGGACUACUCUCUGAUGACAACCCUCCCUUCUGUGGGGCUAGCAGUAGUCAUUGUCCGUCCUGAGACUAUCGACAUAAAGGUUCAACAAUAUUUGAAGAUCAUGGCUCGCUGGCCCAUACUGUGCCAUUAUGAUGGGGUGCUAGUAUAGGAACAAAAGAGAUGGUCAUAUAAGGGUGGCGAAUCUAAGUUUGUUGUUGUGAGCACUGAGAUUACAUGUGAGGAGCUCAUAUUUAAAAUGCAUAAGAUUACGAAGACAACACCCAAUGAAUACAAGGUUAGAAUGAAGGUUGUUUAUACUGUGCAGAGUACCAUGUCACUUUAUCCACAAAUUAUCAGAGAUGAUGAAGA